Molecule: transfer RNA, 73 nt
Filed under: bacterium
Lineage: Bacteria
Description: tRNA-Trp
Rfam family: tRNA
About the family: Transfer RNA (tRNA) molecules are approximately 80 nucleotides in length.
Source: RNAcentral
GGGUCCGUAGUUCAAUUGGUAGAAUGUCGCUCUCCAAAAGCGAAGGUUCCAGGUUCGAGACCUGGCGGACCCG